RNAcentral lists this ribosomal RNA (460 nucleotides) under uncultured bacterium. Its description in RNAcentral is "partial 16S ribosomal RNA". It matches the Rfam family "Bacterial small subunit ribosomal RNA", at positions 338 to 795 of the family's 1533-position model. The record is from RNAcentral.
CCUACGGGAGGCUGCAGUGAGGAAUAUUGGUCAAUGGGCGCAAGCCUGAACCAGCCAAGUCGCGUGAGGAAUGACGGUCCUAUGGAUUGUAAACCUCUUUUGUCGGGGAGCAAGGCCCGCCACGUGUGGCGGGCAGGAGAGUACCCGAAGAAAAAGCAUCGGCUAACUCCGGGCCAGCAGCCGCGGUAAUACGGAGGAUGCGAGAGUUAUCCGGAUUUAUUGGGUUUAAAGGGUGCGUAGGCGGAAGGUUAAGUCAGCGGUAAAAUGUCGGGGCUCAACACCGGCCUGCGGUUGAAACUGGUCGUCUGUAGUGAGCGAGGAGUAUGCGGAAUGCGUGGUGUAGCGGUGAAAUGCAUAGAUAUCGCGCAGAACUCCGAUUGCGAAGGCAGCAUACCGGCGCUCAACUGACGCUGAGGCACGAAAGCGGGGGGAUCGAACAGGAGUAGAUACCCUGGUAGUC